AGCGAACGCUGGCGGCAGGCUUAACACAUGCAAGUCGAGCGGGCCCUUCGGGGUCAUCGGCAGACGGGUGAGUAACACGUGGGAACGUACCCUUUGGUUCGGAAUAACGCGGGGAAACUAGCGCUAAUACCGGAUACGCCCUUUUGGGGAAAGGCUUGCUGCCGAAGGAUCGGCCCGCGUCUGAUUAGCUAGUUGGUGGGGUAAUGGCCUACCAAGGCGACGAUCAGUAGCUGGUCUGAGAGGAUGAUCAGCCACACUGGGACUGAGACACGGCCCAGACUCCUACGGGAGGCAGCAGUGGGGAAUAUUGGACAAUGGGCGCAAGCCUGAUCCAGCCAUGCCGCGUGAGUGAUGAAGGCCUUAGGGUUGUAAAGCUCUUUUGUCCGGGACGAUAAUGACGGUACCGGAAGAAUAAGCCCCGGCUAACUUCGUG
This 433-nucleotide ribosomal RNA is filed under the name uncultured bacterium. Its description in RNAcentral is "partial 16S ribosomal RNA". It matches the Rfam family "Bacterial small subunit ribosomal RNA", at positions 29 to 507 of the family's 1533-position model. The record is from RNAcentral.